UGCUCCUCGGCAUCUUCUAACUGCAGAGGAUAUACGAAAUAUCUCCAAGUGGUCCUCUCGAAGAUCACCUCACUAAGGUUGAGGCAAGAAGAUUGUGGCUCUCCUUCUCUGAAGCAGACCAGGGAGAGACUCACAGCGAGGCAGACGCGCUCCUCAGAGACAGCGCCUUUCCAGUUCUUUCUAUGGGAACUCGUGUUUAUCCUUGAUCUGACUGAGGGGUUGAAGACACCUGGAUUAGCUUCUCAGGAUCAUUUUCUUUACAAAUCUGCAUAUGGGAGCAUUUGCGGGGGCGAAUUCUGUCUCAGGCUCACUUUGGUAUCCUGACACGCGGUAUUUCCCAGCCUCCUUUGCGGUUAGAUGCGUCCACGUGACUGGGGUCUGACUGAUGGAGUGAGAUGUUUGCUGCUGUCAGGCCUGGUCCAUGAAUACCCUCCUGGCACCUUCUUCCAUGCUCGUUCUCCUUCCACUGGCUUGAUGCUGAUGAUUCUGGAAGCCUUGGAAGCUACACGCCAAAGAGAGAAGGAGCCUGUGCCCUGAGUCAGUGCUUGGAGGGGAGCCUGCCACCAGUCAGCCAUGGAAGAAAAGUCGUUUUUCCCAGAGGACCGAAAAUCUGGUUUAGUGGUUGCCUCCUGCCUUUAAAGCCCAGGAAGAGCUAUAUAUUCCCAUGUCUAGCUUGGAGAUGCCAAUUUAGUUACCAGGAGAUCUAGCCUGGAAGCUGCUCGAACCGUACUCAGUGUCAUAUCUCUGCCAUUGAAGAGAUGGGGCCACAUCCUUUCCACAUCCAUAUGUUUCCAUAGACUGUGUUUUCAUGGUUUUGGCCAAUGGGUACUAAAGGCCUUGGAGCGUCCAUGCUGAAGGGAGAGUUUUCACCAAUGAAAUGAUUCAAGCAGCUGUCAAGGUAUUCUGAACACAGAGAACAAAUGUCAUAGGAGCCUUGAACUCAAUGUGCCCAUGCUGUCCCUACUAGUUGUUGACAGUGUGUCCAGAGAGAUCAAAGGGGCCUUCCUGGAUCUUGUGGACUGGGACCAAACAGCUAAAUUAGUCCCACACUUAACAGAAACAUUUUCCAAGCCAAAAAUCAGCAAGUAGGUCUGACAGAAUAAGGAGGACAAAGAUAUUUAACAUAGAUGAUGACAAUGACAAAGAUGAUGAUGAUGGCAAUGGCAGUUAAUACUUUCAGGGCGCUGUUCUUUACGUCCAUUGUUUAUUCAAUCCUCACAGCAAUCCUGGAUGAUAAAUAUGUAAAUAAUCAGCUAAUGAAAUGAGUCAUGAGAAACAGAAUAAACUUUUUUUGCGUCAAGAAUAAACACAGCUUCUCCCUUACAUUCCCUUCUUAUGCAGUGAAGAGAAUUGGAGGCAAGUGAGGACUCUCAUAUUCGUAUAUUGCAGAUAGAAAGCUGAAGCACAGAGAAAUCAAGUCGCUUGUCCAAAGUUCCACUGAAUAUUUAAUAUUGGAGUUUAAAUUAGGGGACAUAUUUGAGAUUGGAGACACGAAGAGGAUAUGAUAGCAACAGUUAUCAUUUGCAUACAUUAUCUCUAAUCCUCAUUAUAAUCCUGUGAGUCUCUUUCAGGAGUGAGAAAUGAAUGACAAUAACAGAAAUUGAGAGCAAGUAUUAAUUCAAGCCACUAUCCGUCAUGUUCAUUUCAGACUCCUGUUCAUUCCGACUCAGAUUCAGACUCAUUUACAAGUCCAUUAUCCCAGACAAUGAUGCACCUUUUGGACUCAAGGCCAUGGUGAUGAUUAGGUGAACAAGUUUCAUCAUAUCCUUCUACAUCUGUGGGAUUUCGCAAUAAGAAGUAAUUUUUUCCUGCUGAUAAUCUCCAUGGCUACAAGAUUUAGAGUUUCAUCCUAACUCAUUAAAGAUUCUGUUACAUUUAUGAUUCAGUAUUACAAAUGCAGGACAGUAUUUUAGCACGAUUUGUAAGCAUAUUCAAUUACAGAGACUGAAAAACACUAGAAAAGGCUUUUAGUUUGUUUUCUAAUUGCAUCCUUCUUGGAGAAGUUGUUGCAAAUAAGAAAAGACAAAGCAAAAAGGAAAAUAAAAUUUUUCAGUAAUGCUUCUCAGAGAUAAGCAUUUCCAAAUCUCUGAUAUAAAUAUACACAUAUAUUUAUUUAAUAGGUAGAAGAAAUGCUAUUAAAAAUAAAAAACUAAACUACAGCUGCUCCUGCCUUCUAGAAUAAUGGUAGAAUUCUGGUGGAGGAUUCUUCUGGUUUAUUUGCGGGCAAGGAGGAGGAAAAGCACUUGAUGCACCCUUUUGGUGACAGUAGGCAAGGUUGUCACCACGUGCCACCAACACAACUGCACGCAGAGCAAUUUGAACGGGCAAGUGCAGGAUACGGGAUGAGCUGUUUUUCCCUGCAGUGAAAGUAACAGGAAAUUCAGUAGCUCAAGAUCUCAGGGAGACCUAGCAACAUAGUGGGAGGCUGGGGGGCCGCAGAGAGACAGCCAGCGGCAAACUGAAGAGAAAUGCAAGACGGACGUUUCCUAGAUUUCUAGGAAUGGUAAUAUCUCCCUUUGAACUGUGCUAUUCUUUUGUUGUUUCCUAUAUUUUAUCUAUUAGUUCUUCACCAACCCAACUUCCUACCAAACUUUCAAUAAAAUUCCAUUAUACACAAAGCUUUGUGUAGGUGAUCCUUUGGAUGAAAUGUAUGUAGAAUGCAUUAAAAAAUCAAAGUCAUAUUGUACAUAUAGAAUAUUGAAUCUAAUGUUUUUCACUUCUUAUAUCAUAGGCUUUUUUCCAUGUGAUUUAUUGAAAAUGCUUUUUAAUUGUUGCAUAGAAAUUUUUCCUAUGGAAGUGCUAACCUUUAAAUAAUAAAUCCCUUGGUUUGGGGAUAUAUUUUGAUAUGGAAAUGAAUAUUGUUAUGCAUUUAUCUUUGUUUACGAUUCUGACUAUUUUCUUAACAACAAAUGUCCGAAGGUAGGGGCCGGCCCGGUGGCGCAGCAGUUAAGUUCGCACAUUCUGCUUCUCGGCUGCCCAGGGUUCACCAGUUCGGAUCCCGGGUGCUGACAUGGCACAGGGUGUGGACAUGGCACCGCUUGGCACACCAUGAUGGGGCGACGUCUCUCCUCUUCCUGGCUGAAGUGGCAUUGUGUACUCACACAACCAAAGAAGAAGCAGAAAAGAGCUAUUCUUCAUCACUUAACCCUUUUUAAUCAGGAUGAAAAAACUUUCCCCAGUGUCCGGAAGUCCAGAAGCCAACUUCCCCCAACCCUGAUUGCCCAGGGUUUCAUAUCACACUCAUGGUUAAACCAAUCACUGAUGAACAGCGUUAUUGCAAUUCUAGAUUAACUAGAACGAUUGGCAUUCACUCCCCGAGGCUGGGGAGAGACGUCUACUCUGAGCACUUGUGAGCGGGAAAGAAGAGGCGGCUAUUUCCAUAGACAGCAAAACGUGAUGAUAUAAUCAAGCACUGCAGGAAGUUUAUAUUUUAACGUAAAACUGGAAUCCUCCUUUGUAAAUUAACCCUGUUUUCUUAUAACUGGAAUUGACCUCUAUGAGAUAACAGAAAAUAUAUAUUGGUCUCUGCCUCUGCUUCCUGGCACAGGGCUCCUAAAAUCCCUGUAACUUCCUAAAUGAUAAGAACACUGGGAGCACCCCUUGUUCUAAUAUUUGUCUUUGACCCCAUCCCCGAUACAGGGUCUUAAAUCCUUUUAAAUUCCUAAGUGAUAAGAGCACUAGGAGCAUCUUUUGUUCCCACGAGGUGACUCUGGAUGGCUCCUGGAUGGGGCCUGGUCACCAGAAAGACCAAGCCGUUAUUAGAAGCUUGGAAUUUUCAGUCCCCACCCCGUUCUCCAGAGGGCAGUGAGGGUUAGAAACAGAGUUAAUAAUUGAUGAUGCCUGUGUGAUGAAGCCUCCAUGGAAUCUCGAUAGUAGGGCUUUCAGAGAGCUUCCAGGCUGGCAAACACACCCACUUGUUGGGAGGGUGACACAUCCCAACUCCACUAGGAUAGAAACUCCUGUGCUUGGGAUCGUCCCCAACCUCGCCCUGUGUAUCUCUUCAUCUGGCUGUUCAUCUGUAUCUUUUGCCACAUCCUUUAAUAAAGUGGCAAAGACUCAUAAGCAGCAGACUCCUACCCAGCUGUGGUAAGUUGAGCUCCUAUACCCUGAGGAGCAGCGUGUAAACACUGAUGGAGGUAGAAAGAGGUGAACAUUGAGUGGUGACAAAGAUGGCGGAGGACAAGCAGAACAGGAGCUGUGCUCUUCAUGCAGGUGCUUGGAGAAAACAAGUCAUGUCCCCAACCUCAAAGUGGCAUUGCUGUCAGGGAAGAAGCCUGUGCAAUGAGUGGGACGGGCUGAUGGAAUCUCUUAGAGGACCCUGCAAAGCUUGGGUUCUGCUGGAUCCACUGCCUCAUUUCAUUCUGGUCUCUGCUCAUCGUCACCUCCACAGAGAGCCCACUCCUGACAUGCCAUCUCCAACACCUCCCCUUAGUCUCCCAGCCCUUGCUCUGCUGCAGAUUUUCCUUACUUCCUUUUAUCUCUGCCUGAAUUAUAUUAUCUAUUGGUGUGUUUUUUAUUUGUUUAUGGUCUGUCUCCCUGCACUAGAAUGUAAGCCCGGUGAGGACAGGUGCUCUGUUUCUAGGAUGCACCUCUGUUUCCCCAUAGACACUCAAUUCCAUUUGUUAUCGAGUGGACGAUUAUGUGAAUUCCAUAUCUUGGGCUUCUCCUGAAAAGAUCUAAAGCUCUACAACUCUGCUUUUCAGAAAAGAUUUGGAACAGAUCAUGGUCUAUGGAGUUUUUUUCUUCUUUGCUAAAUUAAGCUAAAAAUGACUUUUCCUCCCAGGAUUAAGUUCACGCCAUGCCUCUAUGUUCACCACUAACGGGGAGACAGAAAUCCUUAGUACCUGUGAGGGUAAUUUUGACUUACAUUUGUAAAUUUCCUAAGGAAAUUGCCUGAUAUUCUCAGACACCGUAAAGCCUCACUUAGUAGCUUUCAUGAAUUUGUAAUGGUAUGGGCAGAAUUUGGCUUGAAGUAUAUUUUCUCUUUUGUUUUCUGAAAUAAGGUUUUGCCGUGUCAAGUAAUAGUCUGAACAAGAUUGCAUGGGAACUGCUAAACUGAUUAACAAAAUAAUUUCUUAUCCAAGUUUUUCUAGAGUAUUCAGCCACACGAAUACACCCGUGCUCCAAUGGUUUUAAUGACUCAUCUCUAUUGAAUGGAACAGGUGAAAUAGAACCUUGAAUUCAAAUGCUAACUUUGGGUCUCGUUUGAACCUUACAACAAACGAUAAAAUUUUGCAGAGACCAGGACACAAAAUUUGUGUACUCCAUUUUUGGCAACAAACAUUAAGAAACAAUUAAUAAAAUAGAUGCGUUCAAAGAAAGUCCCCUUGAUAGUUGAGCCCUAGGUUGUGCCUCGAAAUUCCUGUUUUUUUCAUUUGCUCAUCUAGAAGGUGAUAAUGCCACCAUUGUUAGGCAACCGCAUCUAGUUCCUAAGCCAGUCCUGACUAGGGCCAGAGGCAUAUUAGCAUCAUUGUUCCCACCAGUAAAACAUAAUUAAAAUAAUAAUACUUGCCGUUUCCUGAAUGCUUACUACAUGCCACAUAGUAUGAACUUAAAUAGGAUUUCCUUUAGUCUUCUUGAUCAAGCCCAUGAGUUAGGCAUUGUGUCAUUUUACAAAUGGGGAAACUGAGGCUCAAAGAAGUUAAUUAAUUUAUGCCCCAAAGUCCCACAGCUAGUAAGCAGCAAAGCCAGGAUUUAGAACCAAUGCUUUUAACCCUCAAGUCACUGCUCUUAUCCAGCGCACCAACGACAGAUGGCCUUUGGUGCCGUACACUCAGCCUCGGUGCACUGAAUAAGUCCCGUGUGCCCUGCCAUCCUCCAAGGCUCUUCCCUCCAGCACUCCUGUGGCUGUUGCAGUCCACAGGGCUGGAGCUCUGCCUUGGUUUCUCUUCCUAGCCCUCUAGUUAUUUCCAGUAACAGCCUACUGUUCCUGGCCCAAUGUAUGACUGAUAUUUGGCAUGUUCUCCUUCGUAUGGCAACUCCCAGGGACAUACUCCAGCCCACUGAUGAGAACUCUUUGAUUCUCUUGCCUGUCAGAAUCACAUCUGAGCUUGCUCAGUCCUUUAAUAUUGCUUUUCAUCGCCUUCUCCAGGCUCUAUAGACAACAUAGUUUUCCCUAGUCCCAUCCUAAUGACCAUGGC
RNAcentral lists this long non-coding RNA (6140 nucleotides) under Equus caballus (horse). Its description in RNAcentral is "lncRNA (ENSECAG00000047739.1)". The record is from RNAcentral. Lineage: Eukaryota; Metazoa; Chordata; Mammalia; Perissodactyla; Equidae.